CCGUGCUAAUACCGCAUAAUGUCUNCGGACCAAAGAUUUAUCGCCCUGGGAUGAGCCCGCGUAGGAUUAGCUAGUUGGUGGGGUAAAGGCCUACCAAGGCGACGAUCCUUAGCUGGUCUGAGAGGAUGAUCAGCCACACUGGGACUGAGACACGGCCCAGACUCCUACGGGAGGCAGCAGUGGGGAAUAUUGGACAAUGGGCGAAAGCCUGAUCCAGCAAUGCCGCGUGAGUGAUGAAGGCCCUAGGGUUGUAAAGCUCUUUUACCCGGGAUGAUAAUGACAGUACCGGGAGAAUAAGCUCCGGCUAACUCCGUGCCAGCAGCCGCGGUAAUACGGAGGGAGCUAGCGUUGUUCGGAAUUACUGGGCGUAAAGCGCGCGUAGGCGGUCCAUCAAGUCAGAGGUGAAAGCCCGGGGCUCAACCCCGGAACUGCCUUUGAAACUGGCGGACUAGAAUCUUGGAGAGGCGAGUGGAAUUCCGAGUGUAGAGGUGAAAUUCGUA
RNAcentral lists this ribosomal RNA (500 nucleotides) under uncultured bacterium. RNAcentral's name for it is "bacterial SSU rRNA". It matches the Rfam family "Bacterial small subunit ribosomal RNA", at positions 158 to 692 of the family's 1533-position model. The record is from RNAcentral.